UUAACCAAUCCCAGGAACUGAAGUCUUCUGUUUCUUCACAGAGGAAAUAUGACAAAGGCAGUGGCUGUACAAGCUUCCUUCAUGGGCCGCCCUCCCCACUGCCUCAUCCAGUAAGCGGGAGCAACUACUUCUAGAGGUGAGAGGGGAGGGAGGACAAUCUCCAUAACCCAUUUGAUCCCCCUAGCUGCA
This is an unclassified non-coding RNA of Ursus americanus (American black bear), 189 nucleotides long. NCBI's taxonomy places the organism in Eukaryota, Metazoa, Chordata, Mammalia, Carnivora, Ursidae. The record is from Ensembl.